Molecule: ribosomal RNA, 252 nt
Filed under: uncultured bacterium
Lineage: Bacteria
Description: partial 16S ribosomal RNA
Rfam family: Bacterial small subunit ribosomal RNA
Source: RNAcentral
UACGUAGGUGGCAAGCGUUGUCCGGAAUUAUUGGGCGUAAAGCGCGCGCAGGCGGUUAUGUAAGUUUGAUGUUAAAGCCCGGGGCCCAACCUCGGUUCGCAUUGGAAACUGUGUAACUUGAGUGCAGAAGAGGAAAGUGGUAUUCCACGUGUAGCGGUGAAAAGCGUAGAGAUGUGGAGGAACACCAGUGGCGAAGGCGACUUUCUGGUCUGUAACUGACGCUGAGGCGCGAAAGCGUGGGGAGCAAACAGG